GAUAAACGCUGGCGGCGUGCCUAAUACAUGCAAGUCGAGCGAACAGACGAGGAGCUUGCUCCUCUGACGUUAGCGGCGGACGGGUGAGUAACACGUGGAUAACCUACCUAUAAGACUGGGAUAACUUCGGGAAACCGGAGCUAAUACCGGAUAAUAUAUUGAACCGCAUGGUUCAAUAGUGAAAGACGGUUUUGCUGUCACUUAUAGAUGGAUCCGCGCCGCAUUAGCUAGUUGGUAAGGUAACGGCUUACCAAGGCAACGAUGCGUAGCCGACCUGAGAGGGUGAUCGGCCACACUGGAACUGAGACACGGUCCAGACUCCUACGGGAGGCAGCAGUAGGGAAUCUUCCGCAAAGGGCGAAAGCCUGACGGAGCAACGCCGCGUGAGUGAUGAAGGUCUUCGGAUCGUAAAACUCUGUUAUUAGGGAAGAACAAAUGUGUAAGUAACUAUGCACGUCUUGACGGUACCUAAUCAGAAAGCCACGGCUAACUACGUG
RNAcentral lists this ribosomal RNA (497 nucleotides) under uncultured bacterium. Its description in RNAcentral is "partial 16S ribosomal RNA". It matches the Rfam family "Bacterial small subunit ribosomal RNA", at positions 28 to 507 of the family's 1533-position model. The record is from RNAcentral.